GAUGAACGCUGGCGGCGUGCUUAACACAUGCAAGUCGAACGGAAAGGCCCAAGCUUGCUUGGGUACUCGAGUGGCGAACGGGUGAGUAACACGUGGGUGAUCUGCCCUGCACUUCGGGAUAAGCCUGGGAAACUGGGUCUAAUACCGGAUAGGACCACAUUUUGGAUGGUGUGGUGGAAAGUUUUUCGGUGUGGGAUGAGCUCGCGGCCUAUCAGCUUGUUGGUGGGGUAAUGGCCUACCAAGGCGUCGACGGGUAGCCGGCCUGAGAGGGUGUACGGCCACAUUGGGACUGAGAUACGGCCCAGACUCCGACGGGGGGCAGCAGUGGGGAAUAUUGCACAAUGGGCGCAAGCCUGAUGCAGCGACGCCGCGUGGGGGAUGACGGCCUUCGGGUUGUAAACUCCUUUCGCUAGGGACGAAGCGUUAUGUGACGGUACCUGGAGAAGAAGCACCGGCUAACUACGUG
Molecule: ribosomal RNA, 466 nt
Filed under: uncultured bacterium
Lineage: Bacteria
Description: partial 16S ribosomal RNA
Rfam family: Bacterial small subunit ribosomal RNA
Source: RNAcentral